GUACUUGCUGGACAGACUGCUGCCACACUGGCUGGCUAGGUCGCUCUGUGUAGCACAUGCAUUUCUGGUGCCCUCAGAGGUCUUUGUGCUAUAGGAUGGAAAGUGGUCCUUCUCUUCAAGGGUUAAAUUAAAUACAGAGACAAAACAAACAGGAACAUAUGGGCCAGCAUAGCAUGCUCAUGGUUGUGCUGGCCAGGACAGCAGAUGGACACCGCGAAUGCAGUGCCCCCUCCUCCUCUCCAGGCAAGCUUUUCUAAAGGUGACGUCAUUGUGAGCGCCACAUAUGAGAACCACCUUGGAUACUGUGACCAGAACUAAGCAUAGCACUCCUGUGGAACUCAAUGGAUAUAUCCAAGGAAAACAAGAGCCAUGAACUUUCCAGUCCUCAAAACUAAACAAAAUUGCAGGAGAGCACCAAGAGGAAUAAGAAGGUUCACUUCAAAGAUGGCUCUGGUCACUACUGGCCAGUUUCACAUUAUCACCCAAGCAUUAACUGUGUCUUUUGAUUCCUGUCCUUGGAUAAAGUCAAGAUGUGACAAAC
This 541-nucleotide long non-coding RNA is filed under the name Cricetulus griseus (Chinese hamster). Its description in RNAcentral is "lncRNA (ENSCGRG00015009168.2)". The record is from RNAcentral. Lineage: Eukaryota; Metazoa; Chordata; Mammalia; Rodentia; Cricetidae.